CAAAGGUGAUCUGAAUAAAUAUGAAAAUGAUUGGAGCUUAUCACAACGUUCUGUUGCAUUGGAUAGAGAGAAGAGGAGGAGGAACCGCCGUAACGGUUAUCUCUCAGUAUUGAAGAACGAUCUGGGUAGAAAAGGGAGAAAGACCACCGUUCAGCAGCUCCAACAAGGAAAGCGAAGCGUAGCAACCCAGACUGAAGCCGUUAUCAUAUUUGGACCAGAUGAUGUGCUACCGUCUCUCCAAUCACAUGCCACAGUUAAUAUGAUCAUGUAGAUCAUGGAUCAAAUCCAGAAAGAAGAAAGAACAACAGGAGUGCUCUAAAAUGAUGAGAGAGUUAUCCGAUGACCAGCGCCAUUACUUUCAAUGAGACAAGUGCAUUUAUAUGAGCUGCCUCAUCUGACAUGUUCUAAAUGUUUAAAAUUAACUACAGUGUAGCAGUGUUAUUGUUAUUUAUUACUGCAAAUAUGCAUGUAUUUAUAUAGUAGGGAAAUUUAUUUAUUUUUCGUAGAUUUUCUGUAGUUUUCGGUAAAUGUAGAUAUUGAUAUUAAAGCGUAAUGAAGUGAUAUAAUAGUUCUGUUAUUGUCAAUACAUGUUCAGGAAUCGGUUAUAUAUAAUAGUUUUGUUAUUGUCAAUACAUGUUCGGGAAUCGGUUAUAUGCAUACCAAUGCAUCAGGUACAAUGCACAUAAUUCAAUUUUCACCACAAUUUUGUAAGAAAGAAAAAUUGUGAAAUUUUGGCGCUUUAAUUUGUACAUUUAUCAUACAAGAUACAUGGAGUUUAAUGAUGUAUAUGUUUACUCACAUAUUUUGAUUACAAUUACCUGAUCGUGAUUUAGGGCUCACGACUGGUGUAACCUGUUGCUUACUCCUCCAAGGCAACUGACCCCACUUCUGGUUGAUCCAGGGGUCAGUGUUUGCCAAGCUCUUAAUUUUGUAAUCAUCAAAGGAGUUAUGAGAUUGAUCACUCUUCGUUACAUAAUUGAUAAUUAAAAAAGCUAUCUCAUCUCCUAUCAUUCCCCUGACUGAUGGUCGUGGGGGAGACAUGAUGGACGACACGUAUGCCAGAUAACACAGGUGGGACUGUCCAUUCUGGUCCACUCUUGUACAUCCAGCUCCUCGUCUGCAUCUGCCGCCACCUUCCAAGGUCCCAUGUAAAACUGUCUUCGGGAGGCUGUUGUGGCGAGUAAUGCGCGUCCAUACCAUGUCAGCCUCCUCCUAUUUACAAGCACUGGGAUGGGGUUCUUGCGGACUUCACUGUGUUGUUUGGACACGGAUCUAUAUAACUCAUAUGAUAGCUGGAAUACGCUGUCCUCUUUAAAAUCGAUAUUUCUGAAAAUUUGCAAGACCAACGUCCUACGUAAUUACUACUUGUUUUAACAAUGUCUUACAGCCUAUACAGCAUGUUGGGAUUUCCUUCAGGCACGUGGGACUUUUAUAGACGCCUAAAAGAUUUAACGAGCGGCAAAUGUAUUUUUGGAUUACCACUUACUUACUUUAUAGAAAA
Ostrea edulis (European flat oyster) is the source of this 1501-nucleotide long non-coding RNA. RefSeq lists it as uncharacterized. The transcript has 2 exons. Lineage: Eukaryota; Metazoa; Mollusca; Bivalvia; Ostreida; Ostreidae. The record is from RefSeq and is a predicted model, not a curated record.